This 470-nucleotide ribosomal RNA is filed under the name uncultured bacterium. RNAcentral's name for it is "bacterial SSU rRNA". It matches the Rfam family "Bacterial small subunit ribosomal RNA", at positions 434 to 917 of the family's 1533-position model. The record is from RNAcentral.
UUUUCAGGGAGGAAUAAAAUGACGUGUACCUGAAAAAUAAGCAUCGGCUAACUCCGUGCCAGCAGCCGCGGUAAGACGGAGGAUGCAAGUGUUAUCCGGAAUCACUGGGCGUAAAGCGUCUGUAGGUGGUUUAAUAAGUCAACUGUUAAAUCUUGAUGGCUCAAUUUCAAAAUCCCAGUCAAAACUUUUAAACUAGAGUAUAGUAGAGGUAAGGGGAUUUUCCAGGGGAGGGGUAAAAUGCUUAAAUUUUGAAAAAAACCCCGAUGGCAAAGGCAUUUUACGGGGUUUUUACUAACACUCAGAGACAAAAGCUGGGGUAGCAAAGGGGAUUAGAUCCCCCAGUACCCCUACCUGUAAACAAUGGAUACUAGAUGUUAAACAAAUCGCCCUGUGCAGUAUCAAAGCUAACGCUUUAAGUAUCCCCCCGGGAAAGUAUGCUCGCAAGAGUGAAACUCAAAGGAUUUGAGGGA